RNAcentral lists this ribosomal RNA (273 nucleotides) under uncultured bacterium. RNAcentral's name for it is "partial 16S ribosomal RNA". It matches the Rfam family "Bacterial small subunit ribosomal RNA", at positions 524 to 796 of the family's 1533-position model. The record is from RNAcentral.
UACAGGGGGCGCAAGCGUUGUUCGGAUUCACUGGGCGUAAAGGGUGCGUAGGUGGUAAGGUAAGUCGGAUGUGAAAGCUCCGAGCUCAACUCGGAAAUGGCAUUGGAAACUACCUUGCUAGAGGGUUUGAGGGGGGACUGGAAUACUUGGUGUAGCAGUGAAAUGCGUAGAUAUCAAGUGGAACACCAGUGGCGAAGGCGAGUCCCUGGAAAACUCCUGACACUGAGGCACGAAAGCUAGGGGAGCAAACAGGAUUAGAUACCCUAGUAGUCC